GGACCCGACUGCUAUCAAAGUGGGGCUAACCCAUGCGAGUCAACAUAGCAAUAUGUGGCAUACGGCUCAUUAACACGUAGUCAACAUGCCCAGGGGACGUGGAUAACCUCGGGAAACUGAGGAUAAACCGCGAUAGGUCAUCACUUCUGGAAUGGGUAAUGACUUAAAUCUAUAUGGCCCCUGGAUUGGACUGCGGCCGAUCAGGCUGUUGGUGAGGUAAUGGCCCACCAAACCUGUAACCGGUACGGGCUCUGAGAGGAGGAGCCCGGAGAUGGGCACUGAAACAAGGGCCCAGGCCCUAUGGGGCGCACCAGGCGCGAAACCUCUGCAAUAGGCGAAAGCUUGACAGGGUUACUCUGAGUGAUUUCCGUUAAGGAGAUCUUUUGGCACCUCUAAAAAUGGUGCAAAAUAAGGGGUGGGCAAGUCUGGUGU
RNAcentral lists this ribosomal RNA (432 nucleotides) under uncultured archaeon. RNAcentral describes it as "bacterial SSU rRNA". It matches the Rfam family "Archaeal small subunit ribosomal RNA", at positions 19 to 458 of the family's 1478-position model. The record is from RNAcentral.